This 487-nucleotide ribosomal RNA is filed under the name uncultured bacterium. RNAcentral's name for it is "partial 16S ribosomal RNA". It matches the Rfam family "Bacterial small subunit ribosomal RNA", at positions 32 to 523 of the family's 1533-position model. The record is from RNAcentral.
AAUCAACGCUGGCGGCGUGCCUAACACAUGCAAGUCGAGCGAGAAAGGGGCUUCGGCCCUGAGUAAAGCGGCGCACGGGUGAGUAACACGUGGGUAAUCUGCCCUCGAGUGGGGAAUAACACCGGGAAACCGGUGCUAAUACCGCAUACGAUCACGAUGUUUUCGGAUGUUGUGAUGAACGGAGCAAUUCGCUCUUGGAGGAGCCCGCGGCUGAUUAGCUAGUUGGUGAGGUAAUGGCUCACCAAGGCAACGAUCAGUAGCCGGUCUGAGAGGACGGUCGGCCACACUGGAACUGAGACACGGUCCAGACUCCUACGGGAGGCAGCAGUGGGGAAUUUUUCGCAAUGGGGGCAACCCUGACGAAGCAACGCCGCGUGGAUGAUGAAGUCUCUUGGGACGUAAAAUCCCUUCGACAGGGAAGAAACCGCAAGGUUGACGGUACCUGUAGAAGAAGCCCCGGCUAACUCCGUGCCAGCCGCCGCGGUAA